CUCGUUGUGAUGUACUCGCGCUCAUGUGUCCGUGGUGUAGUUGGUUUAUAGCCUAACGUUAGCGUUUUACUUCUGCCGAUUGCAUUUACGCUUCAAAAAUCAUAAAAGUGGUGUUUAUUUGUGGAGAUGAUCUUGCUGAACAAAUGGUUUAAGUAUGAUGAACGUU
Sebastes umbrosus (honeycomb rockfish) is the source of this 166-nucleotide long non-coding RNA. RefSeq lists it as uncharacterized. The record is from RefSeq and is a predicted model, not a curated record. Lineage: Eukaryota; Metazoa; Chordata; Actinopteri; Perciformes; Sebastidae. The transcript has 4 exons.